Oncorhynchus kisutch (coho salmon) is the source of this 499-nucleotide long non-coding RNA. RefSeq lists it as uncharacterized. NCBI's taxonomy places the organism in Eukaryota, Metazoa, Chordata, Actinopteri, Salmoniformes, Salmonidae. The transcript has 2 exons. The record is from RefSeq and is a predicted model, not a curated record.
GAUGGCGUAGACAACAAUAGAGGGCUCGCAGUUGGCGUACGACGCCUCCUGGCUGCCAUGUUGGAAGACCACCGCCUUUAUUCUUCUGACAACAACAACCGAGUGGCUUCCCCAAACUAAAUGAUAACAGUGCCUAAAGAGUUGAUUCAUUACCACGGCUCCCCAGUUGACCUCUAUUAUUAAGACACCCAUGCUGACUGGAUACCCACUGUGAAGAUGAGCAAUGCUGCAGAAGCAUCCGUUUCUACUUCUAGUACUUUGUCCUUUUCCAAAUAUGAAAGGAGACUUCACUCAAUUAUACAAGAUGGUUGUUAUAUGAUGUGCUUUGGUCAAUCUGAAUGAUUCUGUUGAUUCCAUUUGAGUAGAGCACCUUCACUUUGUCAAGACAAAACUGUAUGAGUAUGUCAAAUGUCAUUUGGAACAUGUAAAAUACAACUGUUUAUGAUAUUGUAAACAUACUGUACUUUUUGUAUGGGUGAAAUUAAAAUAGUAAUCUUUG